This 781-nucleotide ribosomal RNA is filed under the name uncultured bacterium. RNAcentral describes it as "bacterial SSU rRNA". It matches the Rfam family "Bacterial small subunit ribosomal RNA", at positions 63 to 859 of the family's 1533-position model. The record is from RNAcentral.
UAAAGGGAAUUUGGUUCAAGGGAUAGGGUUGUUUAGUGGGGGUCUGGUGAUUUAAAGGUUGAGGAACUGCCUUUUCGGAGGGGGACAACAUUUGGAAAGGACUGCUAAUACGGCAUGUUACUUUGUUGGGGCAUCCCGAUGAUUUCAAAGUUUUAUCGUUGAAUGAUGGCCUUGGGUGUGAUUAGAUACUUCGCGGGGUAACGGCCCAGCAGGUCGACGAUCAGUAUCCGGCCUGAGAGGUUGACCGGCCACUUUGGGAUUGUGAUACGGCCCAGACUCAUACGGGAGGCUGCAGUGGGGAAUACUGGGCAAUGGACGCAAGUGUGACCCAGCAACGCCGCGUGAAGGAUGAAGGCUUUCGGGUUGUAAACUUCUUUUAUGUGGGAACAGCAGAAGAGGGUACCUUUUGAAGAAGCUCCGGCUAAUUACGUGCCAGCAGCCGCGGUAAUACGUAGGGAGCGAGCGUUAUCCGGAUUCAUUGGGUGUAAAGCGAGCGUAGGCGGAUGCCUAAGCGGGACCUGUAACCCGGGGGCUCAACCUCCGGCCGGGUCCCGAACUGGGUGUCUUGAGUGCGGUAGGGGCAGGUGGAAUUUCAUGUGUAGCGGUGGAAUGCGCAGAUAUUUGGAAGAACAUCGACGGCGAAGGCAGCCUGAUGGGCUGACACUGACGGUGAGGUGUGAAAGCGCGGGGAGUGAACAGGAUUAGAUACCCUGGUAGUUCGCGCCGUAAACGAUGGACGAUAGGUGUGGGGGAGCGCUUCCCCCGUGCCGAAGCCAACGCA